UGCGGAUGCAUUAGCUAGUUGGUAAGGUAAACGGCGUUACCAAGGCGAUGAUGCAUAGCCGAGUUGAGAGACUGAUCGGCCACAUUGGGACUGAGACACGGCCCAAACUCCUACGGGAGGGCAGCAGUAGGGAAGUCUUCCACAAUGGACGCAAGUCUGAUGGAGCAACGCCGCGUGAGUGAAGAAGGUUUUCGGAUCGUAAAGCUCUGUUGUUGGUGAAGAAGGAUAGAGGUAGUAACUGGCCUUUAUUUGACGGUAAUCAACCAGAAAGUCACGGCUAACUACGUGCCAGCAGCCGCGGUAAAU
RNAcentral lists this ribosomal RNA (306 nucleotides) under uncultured Lactobacillus sp. Its description in RNAcentral is "bacterial SSU rRNA". It matches the Rfam family "Bacterial small subunit ribosomal RNA", at positions 231 to 525 of the family's 1533-position model. Lineage: Bacteria; Bacillati; Bacillota; Bacilli; Lactobacillales; Lactobacillaceae. The record is from RNAcentral.